AGAAUCCCGAGCAGGCUCCGCACUGUCAGCACAGAGCCCAACGCAGGGCUCAGUCCCACAAACCACGAGAUCAUGACCUGAGCCGAAAUCAAGAGCUGGACGCUGAACCGACUGCACCGCCCCCCCCAGGCGCCCCAAGACCUCGCUGCAACACCAUCACGUCACCCAAACACCAGAACAACGUCUUCGUUAUCAUCAAAUAUGCAGUUGAUGGCCGAAUUCUCACAAACACUUUCUUAACAGUUGCCUUGUGUGAAACAAGAUCCAGUCAGGUCUCCACAUUAAAUUUGCUUGAUAGAUUUCUCAAGUCUCUUGCUUUUUUAGGAAACAUGUUUAUGAAAGCGUCCUAAAUAGAGAAGAGCACAUAAAUCCUUAAGUGUGCAGCUCACUGGAUUCUUUCCUGGGAGGCCCCUACCCCUGCCACAAAAGCAAACAUUGCCCGACCUGAGCAGCGUCUUACCGUCAUUUUAAUUUGCAUUUUUCUGAUGACUAAUCAUGUUGAGCCCUUUUAAAAUAGUUGUUCUUUUUUUUUGGGGGGGGGGUGUGCCAUGGGAUAUUCUCUUUUAUGAAGCGCCUUUUCAAGUCUUCUGCGUCUCCCUCCUUUUAACAUUGUGUUUCCUCUUUCUCAUUGAUCUGUGGAAUUCUUUAUGGAUUGUGAGUGUGAAUGUUUUGUUGGACCCACGUCCUGCAAAUUCCUUCUCCCGCUGUGUGGUUUGCUUUCAGUCUCUUAAUGGUGUCUCGACGAGCAGAAGUUCUUAAUGAAAUCCAAUUCAUCAAUUGUUCCCCUUAUGGUUCGUGGUUGUUGUGUCCUACUUCAGAAGUCAUUCCCCGUCCUCAAGGGCACGGAGAUACUCUUCUCAGAUAGACUCUGCAAGCUUCAGAGGUAUCCUUUACCUGCCCUGGAUACGUCCACGCUCCUCAACUUUUUGUUUUAAAGUUCAUUUACUUAUGUAACCUCUCCGCCCAACGUGGGGCUCGAACUCGUGACCCUGAGACCAACAGUCACACGCUCUCACAUCUGAGCCAGCCAGACGCCCCUAGAGUUUAGCUUUGUGACUGGUGUGAGGUAGGAUCAAGGCUCAUUUGUUUUUCCGUGUUUAAAUCCGGAGGGUCCAAAGACCAUGCCUUCCUCUCUGCCCCGCAGUGUGGUGUCGUCACCCUGAAUUAGAGACUGGCACACGUGUGCGUCUGUUUCUAAACCCUCUUGGUUCUCUUGGUCGGUUCACGUAUCUUUGCGCCUUUGCUGGCCAAAGUUUGUGCUAAUACUGUACUGACUUAACUGCUGUAAUCGUAUGAUAAGUCUUGCCAUCUGACAGAGUAAAUCUUUCAACUGUGUUUUUCUUCUUCAAGAUUUCCUUGGUUCUCUUGGUCCUGUGCAUUUCAUAGAAAAAAAAAAAUGGAGUCAUCCUGUCAGUUUCCACCAAAAAUCGCCAAGAUUUUGACCGGAAUCGAAUACGAUCCGUAGAUCAAUUUGGGAAAAGCGGAUAUGUUCACGGCAUUGAGCCUUUGUGCCCAGGAACACGGCAUGCUGUCCCAUUUAUAUAGGUCUUUCGUUUUUCUUGGUAAUGUCUCUGGAUUCCCUGGGCAGGUUUUGCACCUCUUUUAUCAGUAAGAUUGAUUCCUGUGCACCAGACGGGUGUUUUUGAUGUUAAUGUGAAUGGGUAUCAUGUUUAAAAUUUCAUUUUCCUCUCCCUGUCCUGAUGUUAAGAUUGCGGACAGGUAGCUCAUCGUCCAAGAUAAGUUAAAAGUCCAUAUCAGAACUGUUGUUUUAGUCUUGAACUUAGCAUGUUUUUACAGCUUAUACUCGUUUUCCACUUACACAUAAUGUAACAAUGCAGCUGGGCUUUCAUUCUUCCAAAGGACCGGACUCAACCCUCCCUUUGGAAGACUCCAGAAACCUAUUUAGGUGAGGAGCGAGGGAUUCUCCUGGGAAGAGCCCAUCUUAAGGGAGCAGGAGCCAGGCUGGCCCCACUUGACCCUGUAACAAAGCCCCUCCCCGAGGGAGGGAGACCGUGUGUGUCUGUCACUCACUUGUCUCCUGGCCCGGAGGACUCUGACUGCGGUGAGUCCCGGGAGGACGGUGUGAGAAGGGAGGGCUGUGGGGAUAAACCGGCAAGAACAUUCUAAUGAUAAUUUCAGAAAACAGUGGACGCCAUCUCUCCUGCUCUGUCGGCCCCGUUGGUGGCCUGUCGCAAAAGGAGGGCACUGCCCCUGAGCUGGCAGCAGGAUGCCCGCAGCUCGGGCUCCCUGUCUUAGGGCUUAGCGAGGCUUCCCCAGGGCUGGGAGGGGCGGCCGUGGGAACAACAGCGAACAUUUGCUGGGCCCCCACCGUGCGCUUCGUUCAUUUAAUCACCGCAUUAUUUUACCGCAUUGUUUUCGAGACGGAGGCACAGAGAGGCUAGGCAACUUGCCCGGGUCACACAGCUCCCACAUGGCAAAGCCAGGAUUCAACCAAGCAGCCAGAGACCUAGAAGCUUGGGGGAUCUCGUGAGACACUGACCUGUGGCAUCUGUCUGGGCCUUAGUGUAACCCUGUCACAUGAGUGGCCUCAUGAAGGAGACUAGACUAUUCAUGGGCUUGGGAGGCUCGUUGACUUACCAGGAAUCCAGUGGGUCGAGGAUGAUCCAGGAGGGGAGGCUUCCUUGAGGCAUUUCAGCUCCGGACAUCAGCCCUUUUGUGCCCUCGAGGGUCAGGACAGCACGCGUGUUAUCCCGGGAUCGGUUCCUGCAUCUACCGACUUUCUGGCUCCAAACAGCCGGGCGCCUGACCUGCCGGCCAUCGCCCUCUCCCUGCUCGGGGCAGCUCCGUCCUUGCCUCCCGGAACAGUCAGAGCACCUCCCUUUGCCUUUGCCCUUUCCCCUUCCCGCGGCUGCUGACCACAUUCCAGGUCUGUAGCAGCCACCAUGUCAGCCCGAGGACGGGGGCCACACGCCGAGGACCACGGCAGAAGGCUGACCCUGGAUGACCUCACGGACCUGCCAACACAGCCCGCGACUACGAACUUCUGGUCUCCAGGAAGUGAAGGUCAAGCUCGUGUGUCCGUGUUACCCGAAGCCAGACUUACAGAUGGGGACCCUCAGUGGCACCCACCCGUUUUCCUGUUCUCACCCAGACCACGGCACGGGGCCACUGCUCUCAUAAAAAACAGAAAUCACACAACUCGGAUCUCUGGUGGGACUCUGUGCGCACAGCAAAAUGGAUCUGUUGGUGCCGUCGUUCUUGGAAUUACUGAAUUUUGAGUGUUGUUGCCGUGGAGGUGGGGUGGGUGGGGUGGAGCUGGGCUUCCAUAAAUGCACAGAAGGAUCUUUGUUUAAAUGUUCAAUUUAUUUUUGAGAGGGCAUGCACGGGGGAAAGGCAGAGAGAGAGGGAGACACAGAAUCCGAAGCAGGCUCCAGGCUCUGGGCUGUCUGCACAGAGCCCGACGUGGGGCUUGAACUCACGAACAACAAGAUCACGACCUGAGCUGAAGUCGGAUGUUUCACCGACUGAGCCACCCAGGGGCCCCCAUCACUGUACGUUUUAAACAAAAGAUGUGUAAUACAGACUUACCUCUGAGUCAUUAUACGUUUUGGAGAGUAGAUGUUUUCAUAGCCAGUACGACUCUUACCCCUUUCCUUCCGUGGGGAGAUCAUCAUGCCAGUGUUCCAUGGAACAAUGUCCGCACAGAAGGGGCUCCUGCUGUCCUGGUCCCAUGUCCAACUCGAGACCACAAGUAAAAGAGAUGUCACGAAUUCACGUAUAUGUCUGUUUUUGACCGUAUACUUUUCCUCGCACGUGUGUGCCUUCCAGAAUAACCGUAUAAAUCAUUUCUUCUUUCGGUUUUCAUAGUUUUUAAUUUUUAAAACAUUUCUCAAGAUUUUAGUGAACAUACCAUAAAAUUCACCCACUUACGUGUACAGUUCAGUGGUUUUUAGUACAUUCACGGAGCUGUGCACCAGCACUGCUCACUUAAAUUUAGAACAUUCAACCCAGAAGAAACUGUGUUUUGCCAGUUAAUAGUCAUUCCCUGUUUUCCUCCUCCCCUGGUGGCUCUUACCCACUAAUAACCCACGUUUGGUCUCUCUUAUUUACUUACUGUGGACAUCCCAUGUCAAUGAAAUCAUAUCGUAUGUGGUCCUUUGGGA
This is a long non-coding RNA of Felis catus (domestic cat), 4124 nucleotides long. RefSeq lists it as uncharacterized. NCBI's taxonomy places the organism in Eukaryota, Metazoa, Chordata, Mammalia, Carnivora, Felidae. The record is from RefSeq and is a predicted model, not a curated record. The transcript is spliced from 3 exons.